This is a long non-coding RNA of Aedes albopictus (Asian tiger mosquito), 477 nucleotides long. RefSeq lists it as uncharacterized. The record is from RefSeq and is a predicted model, not a curated record. The transcript is spliced from 3 exons. NCBI's taxonomy places the organism in Eukaryota, Metazoa, Arthropoda, Insecta, Diptera, Culicidae.
GGUCGACCCCCAAUUUUGACAGACGGCGGUUGUCAAAACUGACAAUUUGUGUUUGCUCUUUCUUUUUCAUUCUUGUUUACGUUUGUGCGUUCAGUUUUCUGUAAAAAAAAGUAUUUAUUGGUCGUGUUUGUUCAAAUGCAUCUGGACCCAAGCUCACCAAUCGCCUGCAGAUUCUUCUGGUCUCAACGUUUCCUAGCAUGAACUAGGCACAGCAACAAUCCCGUCAACCCACGAACCGUCUGUUAUAUACCUGGUUAUAGAUUGGGAGAUAAGGCGAUUCCCAGGUUGAAUCGAAUGAUGCUUUCCAUAAGCCGGACAGGAUUAUUCCGCCAGUAGAUAGAAAGUACGCGCUUAGAAGCGUACGUAUGCGGUGUUCUGAAUGCGAGUGAGGAGGAAAAAUGUUCGCGUGAUCGGCUGGUUGAGCUUGUGGUGUGUUUAUUACCAGUUGAAUUUGAAACAAAAUAUGCAAUAAAGUCU